GACGAACGCUGGCGGCGUGCCUAAUACAUGCAAGUCGAGCGGACUUAAAAAGCUUGCUUUUUAAGUUAGCGGCGGACGGGUGAGUAACACGUGGGCAACCUGCCUGUAAGACUGGGAUAACUUCGGGAAACCGGAGCUAAUACCGGAUAAUCCUUUUCUACUUAUGUAGAAAAGCUGAAAGACGGUUUACGCUGUCACUUACACAUGGGCCCGCGGCGCAUUAGCUAGUUGGUGAGGUAACGGCUCACCAAGGCGACGAUGCGUAGCCGACCUGAGAGGGUGAUCGGCCACACUGGGACUGAGACACGGACCAGACUCCUACGGGAGGCAGCAGUAGGGAAUCUUACGCAAUGGACGAAAGUCUGACGGAGCAACGCCGCGUGAGUGAUGAAGGUUUUCGGAUCGUAAAACUCUGUUGUUAGGGAAGAACAAGUACGAGAGUAACUGCUCGUACCUUGACGGUACCUAAUCAGAAAGCCACGGCUAACUACGUG
Molecule: ribosomal RNA, 494 nt
Filed under: uncultured bacterium
Lineage: Bacteria
Description: partial 16S ribosomal RNA
Rfam family: Bacterial small subunit ribosomal RNA
Source: RNAcentral